GAAGAAGGAAAGUACUAAAAGCGGGUCCGUGAGGUUACUCUGUGCCGAUGUUUCGUGCUUUAGGCUUACGCGGGGCUCGUUGCCGCAGCAGGCGCUGAGAGGCUUUGAUGCAGGCACUGCCGCCCGGUCCGAACCAUCUGAACAUGGUUAUUAAUGCCCUGAGCAGGCAGCGGCAGCUCAGGCAGGAUGUUACAGGCUUUGCAAAUUGAUAUGCAAGAGGUGCACAGGACGAGGUGAGUGAGUUGGGACACAACCCUGGCCGAUGCAUCAGCAGGAAUCCAGUGAUGUCAGCAGAGACACGGCUCCAGCUGGGAACGAUGGUGGUGUCUUUGCAGAAAGACCUUCCUGAAAAGUCUCUGCAUCCCCACCAUCCCCGGCGCAUCAGCUGGCAGCACUGGCUAUUGGCAUCCUCUGGCCCCAGGGACAUACUGCGGACCUUCCACCAUGGCACCAGUCCUCCCUGCUGUGCCAUGGCAACAUGCUCCUGAAAAGUAUCCUGGUGUGACAGCUCACCUGCUUACAGCAAAAUCCAAGAGCACUUGUUUAAAUGCUCCGUUUCCAGUAAAGGAAACUCUAUACCACAGAAGCAGCUUUGUCCCUGCCUGGUCAUUUUAAACAGGGGUUUGUUAGAGGGACCAGGGCAGUGUUUGUUAAAAUUUGCCUGUCCCUGAGGAUUGCUUUCAAAUUGGAGACCAUUAUUACCUGAGAUUAGAGCUAUCCCCAGCUUUAUUUUUGUACCAUCAUCAACGCACGUGAUGUUUAAAGACAAAAAGACAGGAAGAGGCAGCAUCCCUUCCCCAGCUAAUAUACGGUUUGAUGACUGAAAGAGAUUUAUUGAAAUCAAUGUGCACUUUACCAUCGAUUGCUUUGUGCAGUGAGGCCUCCUUUAAAGCUUGUCAGCUUUUCCUUGUAAAGCUGAAAUGAGACUAACCUGAUGUAUCAACAGUGAGUAGUUUGAAGUGAUACUUCUCUUUCUCUCUUUUUCUCUCUCCAUGCUUCUGAGACACCACAAAAUAACUUUUAUUUAAACAUGUAUUUAUCACAUUUACUGAAGGUGUCCAAACUGCCUAAAAAAAUAAAAACUGAAUGCAAAAUUCAAUUUAGCAUUGGAAGGGGACUUGACCAGAUGAUCUAACUGGUCGUUUAUUGCUAGCUAUGACUAUAAUUGCAUGUCUGCAUCAUGCCGUUUAAAAUUUUAAAUUCAACCCACACCAUAUUUUCAUUCAGUGAAAGGAAUUUACUUUAGCAUCAUUCUUUGCCCAUGUCAGGAGAGCAAUUUUUCACUGAUGAUAAGAAAAUGUCAUUUUUUGUUUUAAAAUUGCAAAUGAAAAAGCCAUUUCUAUGUCUCCUGAGCUUUUAUUUAUUGAUUUUCUCAUUAUUAAGUGAAUAAUUUCAAUUAAUUUUAUAAUAAUAACAAUCCA
Long non-coding RNA from Motacilla alba alba, 1421 nucleotides. RefSeq lists it as uncharacterized. Lineage: Eukaryota; Metazoa; Chordata; Aves; Passeriformes; Motacillidae. The record is from RefSeq and is a predicted model, not a curated record. The transcript is spliced from 3 exons.